This is a long non-coding RNA of Passer domesticus (house sparrow), 243 nucleotides long. RefSeq lists it as uncharacterized. The record is from RefSeq and is a predicted model, not a curated record. Lineage: Eukaryota; Metazoa; Chordata; Aves; Passeriformes; Passeridae. The transcript has 3 exons.
CUCUCCAUGAGUGACCACAGCUGUGGUCAUUUUCAGCUGGUCAGUGGUCACUUGGUCACUCCUGGGUCACUCCCAGGUGGUCAGUGGGUCAGUGGUCACUCGUGGUCACUCGUGGUCACUCGCGGUCACUCAGGUCCCUCAGGCCAGCACGUGGGCCACGGGCACGCGCCGUGUCCGGCCCCCGGCCGCGGGCGGCACCACGAUGGCCGCGGGGUCGCCGUCGCCAUCUUCGUCAUCGUCGUC